GCAGAGCAUUAAGGGAUCUUAUUGUGAACAGAUCUGAUGAGUAUUUCUCUGGGAAGGAAGCUCUGUAGCCAUUCUAUAUCUGGUACAGAAAUCUGACCUGCUAAUAGCAGCCCUGCCACCUACCAUAUACAAGGUGUAUGUGACCUGGUGCCCGAAAUUAAGCAGUGCCAGAAGAGAAGAAAAAACAGAAGGAAGAGAGCAACAGAAGUUGCAGACAGAAGGAGGAGCAAUGAAGGUUGCAGAGAGGGGGGAAAAAAAGCAACACAGGUUGCAGGAUUUCAUCAACAUCUCUCUCUGCGUUGCCCCAGAGAACUUCAGCUUUCACAAACCUUCACAACUUCAGAUUUCACAAACCUUCACAACUGAGAGACUAGAAGCAGCAUUUUGCAAGAUUUCAAAUUGCUACAAAACUCCAUAAUGAAACUGAAGAUAUACAGGCUCCAGAAGAUCCUUGGACCCUUUUUCUGAGGCCGUGUAUGAGGAGAUCGAUUAUAACCUGAUGAGAAAGAAGCAGGAAAUGUUUGAUCGCUCAGUCUCCUAUUCAGAUGACUCAGUGACGAAGCUGCAGUAUUACACCGGGGACAGCGAGGGGGAAAAUGAUCCUGGAUCAGAACAAG
Non-coding RNA from Chrysemys picta bellii (western painted turtle), 617 nucleotides. The record is from RefSeq and is a predicted model, not a curated record. NCBI's taxonomy places the organism in Eukaryota, Metazoa, Chordata, Testudines, Emydidae.